GCCGGGUGUGGUGGCUCACACCUGUGCUCCCAGCUACUUGGGAGGCUGAGGCAGGAGAAUCACUUGAGCCCAGGAGGUCAAGGCUGCAGGGCGCCAUGAAUGCACCACUGCACUCCAGCCUGGGAGACAGAGCGAGACCCUGUCUCUA
Molecule: non-coding RNA, 148 nt
Organism: Pan troglodytes (chimpanzee)
Lineage: Eukaryota; Metazoa; Chordata; Mammalia; Primates; Hominidae
Rfam family: Metazoan signal recognition particle RNA
About the family: The signal recognition particle (SRP) is a universally conserved ribonucleoprotein.
Source: Rfam